UACGUAGGGGGCUAGCGUUGUCCGGAAUCAUUGGGCGUAAAGAGCGUGUAGGCGGCUUGGUAGGUCCGCUGUGAAAACUCGAGGCUCAACCUCGAGAUGUCGGCGGAAACCACUUGGCUAGAGUCCGGAAGAGGAGAGUGGAAUUCCUGGUGUAGCGGUGAAAUGCGCAGAUAUCAGGAGGAACACCGAUUGCGAAGGCAGCUCGCUGGGACGUUACUGACGCUGAGACGCGAAAGCGUGGGGAGCAAACAGG
This 253-nucleotide ribosomal RNA is filed under the name uncultured bacterium. RNAcentral describes it as "partial 16S ribosomal RNA". It matches the Rfam family "Bacterial small subunit ribosomal RNA", at positions 524 to 776 of the family's 1533-position model. The record is from RNAcentral.